This 430-nucleotide ribosomal RNA is filed under the name uncultured bacterium. Its description in RNAcentral is "bacterial SSU rRNA". It matches the Rfam family "Bacterial small subunit ribosomal RNA", at positions 42 to 465 of the family's 1533-position model. The record is from RNAcentral.
UCAGGCCUAACACAUGCAAGUCGAGCGGCAGCGGGAAAGUAGCUUGCUACUUUUGCCGGCGAGCGGCGGACGGGUGAGUAAUGCCUGGGAAAUUGCCCAGUCGAGGGGGAUAACAGUUGGAAACGACUGCUAAUACCGCAUACGCCCUACGGGGGAAAGCAGGGGACCUUCGGGCCUUGCGCGAUUGGAUAUGCCCAGGUGGGAUUAGCUAGUUGGUGAGGUAAUGGCUCACCAAGGCGACGAUCCCUAGCUGGUCUGAGAGGAUGAUCAGCCACACUGGAACUGAGACACGGUCCAGACUCCUACGGGAGGCAGCAGUGGGGAAUAUUGCACAAUGGGGGAAACCCUGAUGCAGCCAUGCCGCGUGUGUGAAGAAGGCCUUCGGGUUGUAAAGCAAUUGCAGCGAGGAGGAAAGGUUGAUGCCUAAUAC